AAGGUUUUAAGUUAAUUAAUUAAAACUAUUAAUCUUCAAAAUUAAAAAUAUCUUAUUUUAAACCUUA
Molecule: transfer RNA, 67 nt
Filed under: Uroleucon erigeronensis
Lineage: Eukaryota; Metazoa; Arthropoda; Insecta; Hemiptera; Aphididae
Description: tRNA-Trp
Source: RNAcentral